GAGCCGCGUAGUAGCACAAAGGCCGCCUCCCAACCUUGGAACCAGUAAUCCUACAGUCCUUUCCGUUUAGUGAAACGUUGAGAAUAGACAUGUCGUUGCAAGAUAGACGUGAAGAGUGGGACAAGAAUGGCCCUACCAAUGAUGAAAAAGAAUCACAAGGAUACGAUGGCCCUCCAGGGAUGGACCCUGAUGGUGUCAUCGAAUCAAACUGGGAAGAGGUUACUGACAACUUCGACGAUAUGAACCUAAAGGAGGAACUUCUCAGAGGUAUCUAUGCAUAUGGUUUUGAAAAACCCUCAGCUAUUCAACAAAGAGCCAUUAUCCCUUGCGUGAAAGGUCAUGACGUUAUUGCUCAGGCCCAGUCUGGUACUGGAAAGACAGCCACAUUUUCGAUAUCAAUCUUGCAGCAAAUUGACACUUCCGUUAGAGAAUGCCAAGCUUUGAUUUUGGCCCCCACACGUGAAUUGGCUCAGCAGAUCCAAAAAGUAGUAAUCGCAUUAGGAGAUUUCAUGUCUGCACAGUGUCAUGCUUGUAUUGGUGGUACGAAUGUCAGAGAAGAUAUGAGGAAACUCGAAACAGGUGUUCAUGUUGUUGUUGGUACACCUGGUAGGGUAUAUGAUAUGAUCACUCGGCGAGCUUUGAGAACAAGUCAUAUUAAGAUGUUUGUACUGGAUGAAGCAGAUGAAAUGUUAUCACGAGGGUUCAAAGAUCAAAUUCAUGAUGUAUUCAAGAUGCUGAAUUCUGAUGUACAGGUUAUAUUACUAUCUGCUACCAUGCCCAACGAUGUCCUAGACGUUACAAAAUCUUUCAUGAGAAGUCCUAUCAGAAUCUUAGUAAAAAAGGAAGAGCUUACACUCGAAGGUAUCAAGCAAUUCUUUGUAUAUGUUGAACGUGAAGACUGGAAAUUGGAGACUUUAUGCGACUUAUAUGAUACCCUUUCAAUUACGCAGGCUGUAAUCUUUUGUAAUACACGUCGCAAGGUGGACUGGCUUACAGAGAACAUGCACAAGCGUGAUUUUACUGUCUCUGCUAUGCACGGAGAUAUGGAGCAGAGGGAACGAGAUGUCAUUAUGAGGCAAUUCAGGACUGGGUCUUCAAGAGUACUCAUUACCACUGAUCUAUUGGCCCGUGGUAUAGAUGUACAACAAGUUUCACUAGUUAUAAAUUAUGAUUUGCCUUCAAAUAGGGAGAACUACAUUCAUAGGAUUGGUCGUGGUGGUAGAUUCGGUCGUAAGGGUGUAGCCAUAAAUUUCGUGACGGAAGAAGACAAACGUACACUUAAGGAUAUUGAGCAGUUUUAUAAUACAAAGAUUGACGAAAUGCCUAUGAAUGUAGCGGAUCUCAUCUAAAGAGCCUAGUGUGUCAGUGUGUUUCUACGACGUUUCUCCUGGAGGUCUUAUGGUGCAGCAUCAAUACCUGUGGGCACCAUGAUUUGGAAAUAAAGAUCUAAAUUCCAUUUUAACUACAAAUCAGUGGUUUUGUUUCCUCUGAAACCUUACUCAUCCAACUUUCCAUUUCCUUAAAUAGAAGGCCAUAUAAUUUUAGUACUUGAGUAAAUAUUAAUAAAGCUUUUUUUUU
This 1578-nucleotide unclassified non-coding RNA is filed under the name Leptinotarsa decemlineata (Colorado potato beetle). RNAcentral describes it as "eukaryotic initiation factor 4A-I, transcript variant X2". Lineage: Eukaryota; Metazoa; Arthropoda; Insecta; Coleoptera; Chrysomelidae. The record is from RNAcentral.